GGCUCGUAAGGUGUCUCUGAUCAGGGCUGUGGCCUACAUGGUGGCUCAGUGCUUGGGCGCCAUCUGCGGUGUUGGUUUGGUUAAGGCUUUCAUGAAAAACUACUACAACCGUCUCGGUGGUGGCGCCAACACUGUGGCUACCGGCUACAACACCGGCACCGCUUUGGGUGCUGAGAUAAUUGGCACCUUCGUCCUUGUCUACACCGUCUUCUCCGCCACUGACCCUAAGAGAAGUGCGCGUGACUCCCACGUCCCUGUAUGUUCUUCCUUCCUUUUCCUCUCUUCCGUUUGUUAAAUCUGUCCGUAUGCGACGCCGUAUGGUGUCGUGUAGUGUCAAAAGACGAACCAUGUUAGCUUUUAGGGCAUGGGUGUGGUUGUCUGUUUGUCGCUUAGAGAGUGUUUGAACCUUUCAGGUUUUGGC
This 421-nucleotide long non-coding RNA is filed under the name Carica papaya (papaya). Its description in RNAcentral is "long non-coding RNA (CPAP_LNC011189)". Lineage: Eukaryota; Viridiplantae; Streptophyta; Magnoliopsida; Brassicales; Caricaceae. The record is from RNAcentral.